GUCGUCGUCGUCGUCGUCGUCGCAUCACCAGCCGCCGGGCCGGCCGUCGCGGCCUGCGGCUCGGAGUGACAAGCGAGACCGGCCGGAGGUGGAGACGAUCCUGCAGGAGAUGCGGGUGCCCGUCUCGGCGCUGGUCACCCCGCUCAAGGUCAACCCGCCGCCCUUCCAGUUCCCCAGCUCGGCCGGCAAGGAAGCUCCUAUCACCCCGCUUCAUCACACAUCAGAUGCUCAUGCGAGUUCGCGCGAGUCCACGCCGCGGGAGGAGGAGCGGCGACGCAUCCGACAGCCGCCGCCGCCACCGCCGCCUCCGCCCGCCGCCGCCGCCGGCAGCGCU
Long non-coding RNA from Pollicipes pollicipes, 334 nucleotides. RefSeq lists it as uncharacterized. The transcript is spliced from 4 exons. Lineage: Eukaryota; Metazoa; Arthropoda; Thecostraca; Pollicipedomorpha; Pollicipedidae. The record is from RefSeq and is a predicted model, not a curated record.